Molecule: ribosomal RNA, 320 nt
Filed under: uncultured bacterium
Lineage: Bacteria
Description: bacterial SSU rRNA
Rfam family: Bacterial small subunit ribosomal RNA
Source: RNAcentral
AUAAUGCAUCAAUUUCGCAUCGUUAUUGAUGCCAAAGGAGCAAUCCGCCUUUAGAUGAGCUCGCGUCUGGAUUAGCUAGUAGGUGAGGUAACGGCUCACCUAGGCGACGAUACAUAGCCGACCUGAGAGGGUGAUCGGCCACACUGGGACUGAGACACGGCCCAGACUCCUACGGGAGGCAGCAGUAGGGAAUCUUCGGCAAUGGGGGCAACCCUGACCGAGCAACGCCGCGUGAGUGAAGAAGGUUUUCGGAUCGUAAAGCUCUGUUGUAAGCCAAGAACGAGUGUGAGAGUGGAAAGUUCACACUGUGACGGGUAGCU